Molecule: non-coding RNA, 179 nt
Filed under: Anaerolineae bacterium CFX9
Lineage: Bacteria; Bacillati; Chloroflexota; Anaerolineae
Description: 6S RNA
Rfam family: 6S / SsrS RNA
About the family: E. coli 6S RNA was the first non coding RNA to be sequenced, but its function was unknown until recently. It consists of 184 nucleotides that fold into an extended hairpin structure with a large single-stranded internal bulge.
Source: RNAcentral
UGUAUCCUGCUGUGCUCGUGAUGAGGCGCAAACCCGUCUUGAGCCAACAGUCUUUGUUCGGGAUGUAAGCUAUUUCUGUAAGGUGAUAGACCUGCGUCGGUCAAGACCCGAAGGAAGUAAUACCUCCCACCUGCGAGAGCAGGUUCAAGACAGCGCACGCACGGCACAGCGGGGAUUUU